CUCUCUCUCUCUCUCUCUCUCUCUCUCUCUCUCUCUCUCUCUCUCUCUCUCUCUCUCUCUCUCUCUCUCUCUCUCUCUCUCUCUCUCUCUCUCUCUCUCUCUCUCAGAAAUCUACCGCAAAUGCCAACUGGUUGCACCGAUGGCGUACUCCUCCAUCAUUAAACCAACAGCGUACGUACUCUUCUUAUUCAUCUUCAUUGGACGUCGUAGGCAACUGAUCAGAUUGGUGGUGGAUUAUUAGAAAACGAUUGAGCGGCGAUCUGAUUCAACGACUUGGUUGUGGAACCCGAUCGCCGUCGUAGUCUUCGAUCCAAAAGGAAUAAGGAGUGAGUGGCUGCUACUAUUCGUUUUUUUUUUUUCUUCAGAUAUGCUCCAUGUCCCAUUUCCAAAUUAGAAUUGGGUCUAUUUGAUUUGAUUCAAUAAUGAUCAUGAUUUUGUUUGGGAAACUUGUAUUGAUUUUAGGCAAAUUGGUAUAUUUGUUUCAAAAGAUUUGAUUAUCUUUUUUUGGGUUUUUAAGCACAAUGGAAGUUAUGCACAUAAGGUGUGAUGAAAGUCCUCAAUAAGGUUGUUGGUAUACGAGAAAUUUUGAAGAAUGACCAUCUUUUGGCAUUGAAAUUGAUUUUUAACCAUACUUUUCUAAAUUAAUGAAAAAUAACCAUAUUAAGGGAUGAAAAGUCAUAACUUUCCUCAUCUUGUUUAACAAGAAAAAAAAUUGCGACCAACAACCUAUUAUUUUUUCAGGCAACUGUACAUGCUUCUCCGGUCCAUCUUGAUGAUUGAUGAACCAAAUUUAAAGCACCGUUUUUAUUCAUUGUUUCAGGCAACGGUACAUGCUCGAAGAAAGGACGAUUAAUUAAUUAAUUAAUUAGCAGCAUAGAGCUUUUUGCUUUCAUAUCAUAUUAAUCGUUAUUUUUCUCUUUACUUUUUUCAAACCUUCUUCUUGUUGAGUUUACUCUCAUGAUUCAUCGACUGCUUGCAAUCAAUUCACUUGGAAGAUAGAAGCAUUUCAGAAUGCCCAAUGGGGAGUGUCGCUGCAUAUAAUAUUCAAGUACUUGACCAGUGGGGAGUUUGGAGUUUAGAUUUUCCUGCUCUUCUGGCCUCUGCGUUCUUCAUUGUGACUGCUUUCCACCUCUGAUCCACCAAUUUCCUAAUUAAUAAUUUCUAUCUUGCUCCUUAUCAAGAUCAUCCUCUAACCUCUUAUCCAUUCUCUUUCAUCAACCUCUUUUGGACUCUAUCAUCUUCAGCUUCUCCUAUUCGCUCAAUUAAGCUCGCCAGAGUCCUGUCAUUCCCUUUGCUUCUCCUUCUCUCUUCUAUGUUCUUUUUGGGCUUUCAUCUCCGCCUUCUUCACUUCCACCAUUGUUGCUUUAACACUCUCUUUUGGGCACUCUUCAAUAGUACUCUUGUCGAGCAAUCCGAAGAUUUGGAUUCUCUUUUCUCAUAUUCUCCGCCCUCCGGUUCUGUUUAGGAGGGUUUCACGGUGGAACAUAAUUAGAGAUAUGAU
RNAcentral lists this long non-coding RNA (1501 nucleotides) under Fragaria vesca (wild strawberry). RNAcentral describes it as "long non-coding RNA (FVES_LNC002576)". The record is from RNAcentral. Lineage: Eukaryota; Viridiplantae; Streptophyta; Magnoliopsida; Rosales; Rosaceae.